This 29-nucleotide non-coding RNA is filed under the name Homo sapiens (human). The record is from RNAcentral. Lineage: Eukaryota; Metazoa; Chordata; Mammalia; Primates; Hominidae.
GUGCUUCCUAGGCCAGUGAUUUUAGCUUC